ACAUGCCUACGGGGCGCAGCAGUAGGGAAUCUUCCACAAUGGACGAAAGUCUGAUGGGGCAACGCCGCGUGAGUGAAGAAGGGUUUCGGCUCGUAAAGCUCUGUUGGUAGUGAAGAAAGAUAGAGGUAGUAACUGGCCUUUAUUUGACGGGAAUUACUUAGAAAGUCACGGCUAACUACGUGCCAGCAGCCGCGGUAAUACGUAGGUGGCAAGCGUUGUCCGGAUUUAUUGGGCGUAAAGCG
RNAcentral lists this ribosomal RNA (242 nucleotides) under uncultured bacterium. RNAcentral's name for it is "partial 16S ribosomal RNA". It matches the Rfam family "Bacterial small subunit ribosomal RNA", at positions 333 to 567 of the family's 1533-position model. The record is from RNAcentral.